This is a non-coding RNA of Oryctolagus cuniculus (rabbit), 1499 nucleotides long. The record is from RefSeq and is a predicted model, not a curated record. Lineage: Eukaryota; Metazoa; Chordata; Mammalia; Lagomorpha; Leporidae.
GGGGGCCCUUGCCCCUGCGCUGGAGUGCCGGAGCCCUGAGCCAUGAAGCGAGGCUCCCGCUGCCCAAACUGGGGCAGGGCAGGGCACGGGCAGGACAACCCCUUCAUCCGGAUCAGAUCCGGGAGAAAAGUAAACACCGGUGGGAUGGCGAACUUGAACUUCAGCAAGGAUAAGUGGCUUAGCCUAAAGCAAGACAUUGAGAAACUUCUCACCUCCCUAGCAGUCACAUAGAGAGUAAUAUACUGGAAGACCAUUUGCCAGAGAGCAGUGAAGUCCUGGCCUCCAUUUUUUAAAAAAUAUUUAUUUAUUUAUGUGAAAGGCAGAGUUACAGAGAGGUAGAGGCAGAAAGAGAGAGAGAGAGAGAGAGAGAGGAGAGGAGAGAAGAGAGAGGUCUUCCAUCAGCUGGUUCACUUCCCAGAUGGCUGCAAUGGCCAGAGCUGAGCCGAUCUGAAGCCAGGAGCAAGAUCCUCCAGGUCUCCCACGUGGAUGCAGGGGCUUAAGGACUUGGACCAUCUUCUACUGCUUUCCCAGACCAUAGCAGAGAGCUGGAUCGGAAGUGGAGCAGCCAGGACUCAAACUGGCGCCCAUAUGAGAUGCUGGAACUGCAUGUGGAGGCUUUACCCAUUAUGCCACAGUGCCAGCUCCCUGGUCUCCACUAUUGAUCCAGAUCCCGCUGUAGCUGAUAAAUCCCAGCUUGGUCAAUUUCAACAGAAAGAUAUUUCGUAAGAAGAAGUCAGUGCUGAUAAAAUAAUUAGAAAAAGCAGAAAGUAUAUUAGCCCUCCAGACCACUCUGCCUCUCCCCUUGCAUGGCGUGACUGUUACCUUCCAUCCCACGUAGCAUUUUGCAGCUCAGCUUGUGACUUUCGUAUCAAGGUGGAGCCUCUGUCCCUGCCUUGAACUGCGGUUGCUGGAACAGCAUCACUUGACCAAAAGAGCAAGGUGGAAAAGAUGCUGUGCCCACUUCUGAUGUGGCCCUUGACUGUGGCUUUCCCUGCCUCGUUGGAAGGUUUGCUCGUGGGAGGUGCCUUCUCUGAGUCUAGACACCAGGCUGUGCACAGCCCAUGCAACACAGAGCGGCUACACGGAGCUGUUUCCAUCAGCAGCCUCGGGAGCACUUCCCGCCAAUAGUCAGCAUCAACUGCAGCAUCAGCUGUCCCUGGGACACCCAGCCCAGUCCAGCUUCCGGGUGACUACAUCCCAGCCAGCAUCUGAACAUAACUUCAUGACAGAUGCCCAAGGGAGCAGGCACAGGCCACAAGAAACAGUAAGAGAUUGUCGUUUCAAGCCAUUAAGUUCAGAGACGGCCUAUCACAGAGCAACAGCUAACUGGAACUUUCCUGACCAGGGAUGUGCUAUGGCUGGUGCUGAAACCACUGAACAGGAAAACCGCCUGCUAACGUAAGGAACUCCCAGGACAACUGGUCCCCAAAUCGGGGACCCCUGCUCUGCGAUGAACCACACACAAAAUGGAUUCCUACGUUUUGCCUCUUUGCUCCCCC